CUGGUGUCAGCCGCCGCGGUAAUACCAGCACCCCGAGUGGUCGGGACGUUUAUUGGGCCUAAAGCAUCCGUAGCCGGUUCUACAAGUCUUCCGUUAAAUCCACCUGCUUAACAGAUGGGCUGCGGAAGAUACUAUAGAGCUAGGAGGCGGGAGAGGCAAGCGGUACUCGAUGGGUGGGGGUAAAAUCCGUUGAUCCAUUGAAGACCACCAGUGGCGAAGGCGGCUUGCCAGAACGCGCUCGACGGUGAGGGAUGAAAGCUGGGGGAGCAAACCGGAUUAGAUACCCGGGUAGUCCCAGCUGUAAACGAUGCAGACUCGGUGAUGAGUUGGCUUAUUGCUAACUCAGUGCCGCAGGGAAGCCGUUAAGUUUGCCGCCUGGGGAGUACGGUCGCAAGACUGAAACUUAAAG
RNAcentral lists this ribosomal RNA (409 nucleotides) under uncultured Nitrososphaerota archaeon. RNAcentral describes it as "bacterial SSU rRNA". It matches the Rfam family "Archaeal small subunit ribosomal RNA", at positions 452 to 861 of the family's 1478-position model. The record is from RNAcentral. Lineage: Archaea; Thermoproteati; Nitrososphaerota.